AGAGUUUGAUCCUGGCUCAGAUUGAACGCUGGCGGCAGGCCUAACACAUGCAAGUCGAACGAUGAAGCCCAGCUUGCUGGGUGGAUUAGUGGCGAACGGGUGAGUAACACGUGAGUAACCUGCCCUUAACUCUGGGAUAAGCCUGGGAAACUAGGUCUAAUACCGGAUAGGAGCGCCUACCGCAUGGUGGGUGUUGGAAAGAUUUAUCGGUUUUGGAUGGACUCGCGGCCUAUCAGCUUGUUGGUGAGGUAAUGGCUCACCAAGGCGACGACGGGUAGCCGGCCUGAGAGGGUGACCGGCCACACUGGGACUGAGACACGGCCCAAACUCCUACGGGAGGCAGCAGUGGGGAAUAUUGCACAAUGGGCGAAAGCCUGAUGCAGCGACGCCGCGUGAGGGAUGACGGCCUUCGGGUUGUAAACCUCUUUCAAUAGGGAAGAAGCGAAAGUGACGGGACCU
This 459-nucleotide ribosomal RNA is filed under the name Micrococcus sp. gl12. RNAcentral's name for it is "bacterial SSU rRNA". It matches the Rfam family "Bacterial small subunit ribosomal RNA", at positions 8 to 480 of the family's 1533-position model. The record is from RNAcentral. Lineage: Bacteria; Bacillati; Actinomycetota; Actinomycetes; Micrococcales; Micrococcaceae.